This 84-nucleotide transfer RNA is filed under the name Candidatus Woesearchaeota archaeon. RNAcentral's name for it is "tRNA-Asp". It matches the Rfam family "tRNA". Rfam says of the family: Transfer RNA (tRNA) molecules are approximately 80 nucleotides in length. Their secondary structure includes four short double-helical elements and three loops (D, anti-codon, and T loops). Lineage: Archaea; Nanobdellati; Candidatus Woesearchaeota. The record is from RNAcentral.
GCCGGGGUCGCUCAACCAGGAAGAGCGACGGUUUGUCAAGCCGUAACCCGCAAGGGUAUCUGGGUUCAAAUCCCAGCCCCGGCG